Molecule: ribosomal RNA, 496 nt
Filed under: uncultured bacterium
Lineage: Bacteria
Description: bacterial SSU rRNA
Rfam family: Bacterial small subunit ribosomal RNA
Source: RNAcentral
AUGAACGCUAGGCGGCAGGCUUAAUACAUGCAAGUUGAGGGGCAGCAUGAUAUACGCGAGUAUAUUGAUGGCGACCGGCGGACGGGUGAGUAAUAGGUAGGAGACCUACCUCAUACAGGGGGAUAGCAUAGAGAAAUCUGUGGUAAUACCCCAUGAGGUUAUAUGAAUAGAGGCAUAUAAUCAAAGCAUAAGCGAUUAUGCGGUAUGAGAGGGGCCUACUGACCAUUAGCUAGUUGGUGAGGUAAGGGCUCACCAAGGCGAAGAUGGUUAGGGGUUUUGAGAGAGAGACCCCCCACAUUGGAACUGAGAGACGGUCCAGACUCCUACGGGAGGCAGCAGUAGGGAAUAUUGGGCAAUGGGCGAAAGCCUGACCCAGCCAUGCCGCGUGAAGGAAGACGGCCUUAUGGGUUGUAAACUUCUUUACUACGCGAAUAGAGGUUAGUACGAGAUACUAAUAGGAAGGUAGUGUAGUAAAAAAGCACCGGCUAACUCCGUG